This 1842-nucleotide ribosomal RNA is filed under the name metagenome. Its description in RNAcentral is "bacterial LSU rRNA". It matches the Rfam family "Archaeal large subunit ribosomal RNA", at positions 829 to 2673 of the family's 2987-position model. The record is from RNAcentral.
GGUCGAAAGACCCGUGGAGGCCCGAAGGGGUGUUGAUGUGCAAAUCGCUCCCCUGACCCGCGUCUAGGGGUGAAAGUCCAAUCGAGCCCGGGGAUAGCUGGUUCCCCCCGAAACAUACCGCAGUAUGACCCGCCCGGAGGUAGGCGGUGGGGUAGAGCACUGAUUGGGGGAGCCGGGGGGUGACACCCUCGCCCCCCUGUCAAACUCCGAAUCCACCGCCGCCGUAGAUGGGCGGAGUCGGGGCACGGGGGUAAGCUCCGUGUCCGCGAGGGAGACAACCCAGACCGGGGUUAAGGCCCCUAAGUGCCGGCUAAGUGUAAACGAUAAAGGAGGUCCCGGGCCGAAGACAGCUGGGAGGUAGGCUUAGAAGCAGCCAUCCUCUAAGGAGUGCGUAACAGCUCACCAGCCGAGGCUCGGGGCGCCGAAAAUGGACGGGGCUCAAGCCGGCCGCCGAUACCCCGGGGCGCCGAAAGGCGAUCCGGUAGGGGGGCGUGCCGAUGGCGUAGAAGCCCGAGGCGUAAGCUCGGGUGGAGCCGUCGGUAACGAGAAUCCUGGCGGUAGUAGCAGCGUAGUCGGGUGAGAAUCCCGACCGCCGGAAGGGCAAGGGUUCCACGGCGAUGUUCGUCAGCCGUGGGUUAGCCGGUCCUAAGGCCGCUCGUAACUCGACGCGGCCGAAAAGGGAAGCCGGUUAAUAUUCCGGCGCCGCCCGCCCGGCUGCACCGCAAGGUGCGGUUGCCGCUUAUGCGGCCCCGACGCCUCGGGAUAGGCCGAGCCGGUGUCGCCAGCCGGUCCAAGCGCCGAAGCCCCCGGAGUUCCGUAAUGGAGAGAAGGGGGUGAAGGCGUGAUGGCGUAAGUCGGCCGACUCCUGGGGCCCGUGAAAAGGGGGGCGGGAGGACCGUACCGAGAACCGACACAGGUGCCCUGGGUUAGCAGCCUAAGGCGUGGCGGAACACUCCGGCCGAGGGAAAUCGGCAAAUUGGCCCCGUAUCUUCGGUAGAAGGGGUGCCUGCGGUCUUGGCCUUAUGGCUGGGACCGCAGGUCGCAGUGACUUGGGGGGGGCGACUGUUUACUAAAAACACAGGGGGCUGCAACCCCGUAAGGGUUAGUACAGCCCCUGAGUCCUGCCCAGUGCGGGUACCUGAAAGCCGGGUUCAACCGGCCGAAGGGCCCGUAAACGGCGGGGGUAACUAUGACCCUCUUAAGGUAGCGUAAUACCUUGCCGCUUAAUUGGCGGCUUGCAUGAACGGAUUAACGACCCCCCCACUGUCCCCGGCCGGAAGCCGGCGAACCCGACAUCCCAGUGAAGAGUCUGGGGACCCCCGAUGGGAAGCGAAGACCCUGUGGAGCUUUACUGCAGCCUGCCGUUGCCUCACAGCUGGGGGUGCGCAGCGUAGGCGGGAGGCUUCGAAGCCCGGUCUCCGGGCCGGGUGGAGCCGUCCAUGAGACACCGCCCACCUCCAGCUGUGGGGCUAACCGCUUCGUGCGGGACAUCGGUAGGUGGGCAGUUUGGGUGGGGCGCCACGCGCCCGAAAACCUAACAGGCGUGCCCAAAGGUCAGCUUAGGUGGUUCAGUCUCCACCGUAAACCGUAAGGGGAAAAGCUGGCUUGACGUGGAUCGGAUCAAUAACGAUCGACGAUGCGAAAGCAGGGCCUAACGAACCAAUGUGCCUCAUUUCUGGGGGCCAUUGAUAACAGAAAAGUUACCUCGGGGAUAAUUGAGUUGUCACCAGCAAGAGCACAUAUCGACCUGGUGGCUUGCUACUUCGAUGUCGUCUCUUCCCAACCUCCCGGUGCAGCAGCUGGGAAGGGUGGGGUUGUUCGCCCAUUAAAGGGGAUCGUGAG